Molecule: long non-coding RNA, 566 nt
Organism: Neofelis nebulosa (Clouded leopard)
Lineage: Eukaryota; Metazoa; Chordata; Mammalia; Carnivora; Felidae
Exons: 2
Source: RefSeq, a predicted model, not a curated record
UUCAAAAUGAACUGGGCACUGUGCAUACUACUGCACCAUCUGUUGGGGGAAAAUGAAGAGGAACAGAUACAUUGCCCUACACCUUGAUAAGCACCUGCAACACGUGCAUGUGCGGGCUGCUGGAGGAGUGCACUGGAGGAGCUUUCAUUCUUACCACUGUGUGGGUGGGCGAGGAAGAACAGGUGUGAGCAUUUGCCAACAGAGACACCCAUAGAGCCCCCAGGUGUUCAUGCUCCUGCUUAAUGUCAGGGCCAAGGAGAGGCCUUUUGGGAUUUUCUUUUGCACCUCCCUACUGGUUCUAUGAAACACUCCAGGUUCCUAUUGUAUAUUUCCUCCCCAGUCCUAGACACAACCACUUCUCCAAGAGACUCUGGGUCUUCUACUGGACAAUGAUAAUAGAAAAUAACAACUGGGUGCUGGGUAUGCUGUUGUUACAGAAUCAUCUGACAGAGCAAAGAAAUGUAUGUAUAUAUACAUAAACAUAUGACUUUUUCUUUAUGUCACCAUCUACUCCUAUAUUAAAAUAAACAUAAGUUCUUACUGAUGUCUUCAACAGUAAUCCAUUA